CCUACGGGUGGCAGCAGUGAGGAAUAUUGGUCAAUGGUCGGGAGACUGAACCAGCCAAGCCGCGUGAGGGAUGAAGGUGCCAAGUAUUGUAAACUUCUUUUGUCAGGGAACAAAGACUGGCACGCGUGCCUGGUUGAGUGUACCUGAAGAAAAAGCAUCGGCUAACUCCGUGCCAGCAGCCGCGGUAAUACGGAGGAUGCGAGCGUUAUCCGGAUUUAUUGGGUUUAAAGGGUGCGUAGGCGGUCUGUUAAGUCAGCGGUAAAAGCCCGGGGCUCAACCCCGGCCCGCCGUUGAAACUGGCAGUCUUGAGUAGAGGAGAGGUAGGCGGAAUGCGCGGUGUAGCGGUGAAAUGCUUAGAUAUCGCGCAGAACUCCGAUUGCGAAGGCAGCAUACCGGCU
Molecule: ribosomal RNA, 398 nt
Filed under: uncultured bacterium
Lineage: Bacteria
Description: partial 16S ribosomal RNA
Rfam family: Bacterial small subunit ribosomal RNA
Source: RNAcentral